RNAcentral lists this ribosomal RNA (504 nucleotides) under uncultured bacterium. RNAcentral describes it as "partial 16S ribosomal RNA". It matches the Rfam family "Bacterial small subunit ribosomal RNA", at positions 29 to 523 of the family's 1533-position model. The record is from RNAcentral.
AUUGAGCGCUGGCGGCAGGCCCAACACAUGCAAGUCGAACGGUAGCACAGAGAGCUUGCUCUCGGGUGACGAGUGGCGGACGGGUGGGUAAUGUCUGGGAAACUGCCCGAUGGAGGGGGAUAACCACUGGAAACGGUAGCUAAUACCGCAUAACGUCGCAAGACCAAAGUGGGGGACCUUCGGGCCUCACACCAUCGGAUGUGCCCAGAUGGGAUUAGCUAGUAGGUGGGGUAAUGGCUCACCUAGGCGACGAUCCCUAGCUGGUCUGAGAGGAUGACCAGCCACACUGGAACUGAGACACGGUCCAGACUCCUACGGGAGGCAGCAGUGGGGAAUAUUGCACAAUGGGCGCAAGCCUGAUGCGGCCAUGCCGCGUGUAUGAAGAAGGCCUUCGGGUUGUAAAGUACUUUCAGCGGGGAGGAAGGCGGUGAAGUUAAUAGCUUCACCGAUUGACGUUACCCGCAGAAGAAGCACCGGCUAACUCCGUGCCAGCCGCCGCUGUAA